CACCAAUUAAUCAUACCAGAAAAAAGAAAAAGUUAGUUAAUCUUUGCAUAGCUGCACACAGACUUCGUUCUCCACCUCUUGCGUAGCACAUUCGAUCUCCGUUCAGGUCUCCUCUUCUAUUUCUACUAUGAUCGAAUUGGGAAUUUUCAAUUUUUCUGCUAUGAUUGAAUUGGUAAUUUGAGAUUGGAGGGAUUGUGGC
RNAcentral lists this long non-coding RNA (199 nucleotides) under Fragaria vesca (wild strawberry). RNAcentral describes it as "long non-coding RNA (FVES_LNC003180)". The record is from RNAcentral. Lineage: Eukaryota; Viridiplantae; Streptophyta; Magnoliopsida; Rosales; Rosaceae.